RNAcentral lists this RNase P RNA (347 nucleotides) under Pseudomonadota bacterium. RNAcentral's name for it is "Proteobacteria bacterium (activated sludge metagenome) RNase P RNA component class A". It matches the Rfam family "Bacterial RNase P class A". From Rfam's summary of the family: Ribonuclease P (RNase P) is a ubiquitous endoribonuclease, found in archaea, bacteria and eukarya as well as chloroplasts and mitochondria. Its best characterised activity is the generation of mature 5'-ends of tRNAs by cleaving the 5'-leader elements of precursor-tRNAs. Lineage: Bacteria; Pseudomonadati; Pseudomonadota. The record is from RNAcentral.
GAAGCAAGCCAGACAGCCGCUGGCCGACGCAAGUCGGCGGGAGGAAGGUCCGGACUCCAUAGAGCAGGGUGACGGCUAACGACCGUCCGUCGAAAGCCAUAAGCGCAGUUUGACUUAGGUAUAAGACGAGGAAUAGGGCCACAGAGACGAGCGUAUUUAGUUACGGUGAAACGCGGUAACCUCCACUCGGAGCAAUCUCAAAUAGGCACGCAUUGAUGCGGCUCGCGGAGCGUGCGGGUAGAGAGCUUGAGCCGUGGAGUAAUUCACGGCCUAGAGGAAUGGCUGUCAUAGCGGAUAGGGCAACUUGUCCGCCGUAACAGAAUCCGGCCUAUCGGCUUGCUUCAUUU